GAUGAACGCUGGCGGCGUGCCUAAUACAUGCAAGUCGAGCGAACGGACGCGAAGCUUGCUUCUCUGUUGUUAGCGGCGGACGGGAGAGUAACACGUGGAUCCCCUACUUAUAAGACUGGGAUAACUUCGGGAAACGGGCGAUAAUAGCGGAUAAUAUUCUGAACCGCAUGGUUCAAAAGAGAAUGACGGCCUUGCUGUCAGUUAUAGAUGGUUCCCGGCUGGAUUGGGUAGUUGGUAAGGUAACGGCCUACCAAGGCAACGAUGCAUAGCCGAGGUGAUAGGGGGAUCGGCAACACUGGAACGGAGACACGCUCCAUAGUCCUACGGGAGGCCCCAGUAGGGAACCUUCCGCAAUGGGCGAAAGCCUGACGCAGCAACGCCGCGUGAGUGACGAAGGCCCUCGGUUCGUAAAACUCUGUUAUUAGGGAAAAACAUAUGUGUAAGGAACUGUGGACAUCUUGACGGUACCUAAUCAGAAAGCCACGGCUAACUACGUG
Molecule: ribosomal RNA, 497 nt
Filed under: uncultured bacterium
Lineage: Bacteria
Description: partial 16S ribosomal RNA
Rfam family: Bacterial small subunit ribosomal RNA
Source: RNAcentral